Molecule: ribosomal RNA, 424 nt
Filed under: uncultured bacterium
Lineage: Bacteria
Description: bacterial SSU rRNA
Rfam family: Bacterial small subunit ribosomal RNA
Source: RNAcentral
UGGGGAAUAUUGGACAAUGGGCGCAAGUCUGAUCCAGCCAUGCCGCGUGUGUGAAGAAGGCCUUCGGGUUGUAAAGCACUUUUGUCCGGAAAGAAAAGCUUCGGGUUAAUAACCUGGAGUCAUGACGGUACCGGAAGAAUAAGCACCGGCUAACUUCGUGCCAGCAGCCGCGGUAAUACGAAGGGUGCAAGCGUUACUCGGAAUUACUGGGCGUAAAGCGUGCGUAGGUGGUUUGUUAAGUCUGAUGUGAAAGCCCUGGGCUCAACCUGGGAACGGCAUUGGAUACUGGCUUACUAGAGUGCGGUAGAGGGUAGCGGAAUUCCCGGUGUAGCAGUGAAAUGCGUAGAUAUCGGGAGGAACAUCCGUGGCGAAGGCGGCUACCUGGACCAGCACUGACACUGAGGCACGAAAGCGUGGGGAGCAA